RNAcentral lists this ribosomal RNA (506 nucleotides) under uncultured bacterium. RNAcentral's name for it is "partial 16S ribosomal RNA". It matches the Rfam family "Bacterial small subunit ribosomal RNA", at positions 28 to 523 of the family's 1533-position model. The record is from RNAcentral.
GAUGAACGCUAGCUACAGGCUUAACACAUGCAAGUCGAGGGGUAACGAGAGGGAAGCUUGCUUUCCUUGUCGACGACCGGCGCACGGGUGAGUAACGCGUAUCCAACCUGCCCCCAACUAAGGAAUAACCUUGCGAAAGUAAGACUAAUACCUUAUAAUUUCCUCAGAUGUCAUCUGACGAGGAAUAAAGAUUUAUCGGUUGUGGAUGGGGAUGCGUCUGAUUAGCUUGUUGGCGGGGUAACGGCCCACCAAGGCAACGAUCAGUAGGGGUUCUGAGAGGAAGGUCCCCCACAUUGGAACUGAGACACGGUCCAAACUCCUACGGGAGGCAGCAGUGAGGAAUAUUGGUCAAUGGGCGGAAGCCUGAACCAGCCAAGUAGCGUGCAGGAUGACGGCCCUAUGGGUUGUAAACUGCUUUUAUACAGGAAUAAAGUUAGCCACGUGUGGUUAUUUGUAGGUACUGUAUGAAAAAGGACCGGCUAAUUCCGUGCCAGCAGCCGCGGUAA